AGACUUUUAGUUUAAUUGUGGAAUGUCUCUUUUACAUAGAGGAGGUUAAAAGGUCUU
RNAcentral lists this transfer RNA (57 nucleotides) under Ascaridia columbae. Its description in RNAcentral is "tRNA-Val". Lineage: Eukaryota; Metazoa; Nematoda; Chromadorea; Rhabditida; Ascaridiidae. The record is from RNAcentral.